AAAUGGAGUCACUUUCUCGGGGAACUGCUAAGCUUAAUGGUUGAAUUUAAAACAUUGUUACUAUCUGAUAAAAAUGUGAUUUUCUCGUUUUUACAUCUGUUCUGGGCUGCUCACGCAAUAAUCUUCUACUGCCAGAAACAAUUGGAGAAAGGUUUGAAAAAUCUAAAAAGAAUCAGAUCAUGCAUUUCAUUGUUGGCUUUGCUCUAACCUUCCUUCUUUUGCACUGCUAAACAUCCUUUCUUUGGUCAAAGGAGUGGAUGGUCAACUCUUACCUGUAAAAGAUGUUAAAAUAUUGGCUAGCAUUCUUUUGAAAAGGCGCCAUGAAUAUCAUAUUCAACAUGCAGAGUCUUGUCAAAAGUUAUCAAAGACAGGGGUUUAUAUCCUCUGGCUUCUACUAGAGACCUGUGCUGAAUUUGUAUCUUCUUCACCUGGUGAAUGUGAAGACCUACUAUUGGAGGUGCUGUAGCAGGGUGAGCCAGCCUCUAAAGAUCCAGCUGUUUUGCUGCCUUUCAUAAUUGUCUUGAGGAGUCUCACUAACUCAUCUUUUGGAGCUAUGAGUAAUAAAAAUCAGAUGUGGUUGCAGGUCAAAAGAAAAUUAUUUCAGAGGUUGUUGCUAUGAAGGUGGGAAGACCUGUCUCUCUUUCCAAGUUUGGUACCAACUGUGGAGGCCUUUUAUUUUUUUAUUAUUGAUUAUGUUUUGUUUGUAUUUCCAGCUUUCCGAACUUAACUGCAGCUCCAAGCAAUUUGAUUUAGCUAAAAAUCAGUUAGAAAGUUGUAGACAGAUGCAUGUAGAGAAGUUGUUAAAAGAAUUCAAAUAAUUUGUAUUUUAUGAGAUAGUUUUAUUGUAAAAAUUUAUAUUAAUUUUGUUAUAAUUAAAAAUGUCAAUAAUUAGUAUA
Long non-coding RNA from Impatiens glandulifera, 896 nucleotides. RefSeq lists it as uncharacterized. NCBI's taxonomy places the organism in Eukaryota, Viridiplantae, Streptophyta, Magnoliopsida, Ericales, Balsaminaceae. The transcript is spliced from 6 exons. The record is from RefSeq and is a predicted model, not a curated record.